RNAcentral lists this ribosomal RNA (383 nucleotides) under uncultured eukaryote. Its description in RNAcentral is "partial 18S ribosomal RNA". It matches the Rfam family "Eukaryotic small subunit ribosomal RNA", at positions 592 to 976 of the family's 1831-position model. The record is from RNAcentral.
CAAUAGCGUAUAUUAAAGUUGUUGCAGUUAAAAAGCUCGUAGUUGGAUUUCUGGUGGGAGCGAUCGGUCUGGCGCUUAGCGCGAGUACUUGCAUCGUCUCCGGCCAUCCUUGGGGAGAGUCUGUCUGGCAUUAGGUUGUCGGGCAGAGGAUCCUCAUCGUUUACUGUGAAAAAAUUAGAGUGUUCAAAGCAGGCUUAUGCCGUUGAAUAUAUUAGCAUGGAAUAAUAAGAUAGGACUUUGGUACUAUUUUGUUGGUUUGCGCACCAAAGUAAUGAUUAAUAGGGACAGUUGGGGGUAUUCGUAUUCCGUUGUCAGAGGUGAAAUUCUUGGAUUUACGGAAGACGAACUACUGCGAAAGCAUUUACCAAGAAUGUUUUCAUUAA